UUGGAAUCGCUAGUAAUCGUAGAUCAGCAUGCUACGGUGAAUACGUUCCCGGGCCUUGUACACACCGCCCGUCACACCACGGGAGUUGGUUGUACCAGAAGCAGUUGAGCUAACUAUUUAUAGAGGCAGGCUGCCAAGGUAUGAUUGGUAACUGGGGUGAAGUCGUAACAAGGUAGCCCUAGGGGAACCUGGGGCUGGAUCACCUCCUUU
This 210-nucleotide ribosomal RNA is filed under the name Deltaproteobacteria bacterium. RNAcentral's name for it is "partial 16S ribosomal RNA". It matches the Rfam family "Bacterial small subunit ribosomal RNA", at positions 1326 to 1533 of the family's 1533-position model. Lineage: Bacteria; Pseudomonadati; Myxococcota; Myxococcia. The record is from RNAcentral.